CCCCAAAAAGUAGUCAUAUGCUUGUCUCAAAGAUUUAACCAUGCAUGUCUAAGUAUAAACAAUUCUAUACUGCGAACCUGCAAAUGGCUCAUUAAAUCAGUUAUAGUUUAUUUGAUAAUAUCUACUACUCGGAUAACCGUGGUAAUUCUAGAGCUAAUACGUGCGUAAAAACCCGACUUACGAAGGGUUGUAUUUAUUAGAUACAAAACCAAUGCAGGGUAACCUGGUUUCUUGGUGAUUCAUAAUAACUUCUCGGAUCGCAUGGCUCACGCCGGCGACGUUUCAUUCAAAUUUCUGCCCUAUUUUUUUUUGAUGGUAAGGCCUUGGCUUAUCAUGGGUACAACAGGUCCCCCAGAAUUAGGGUUCGAUUCCGGAGAGGGAGCCUGAGAAACGGCUACCACUUCCAAGGAAGGCAGCUGGUGCGCAA
RNAcentral lists this ribosomal RNA (427 nucleotides) under uncultured eukaryote. Its description in RNAcentral is "bacterial SSU rRNA". It matches the Rfam family "Eukaryotic small subunit ribosomal RNA", at positions 21 to 439 of the family's 1831-position model. The record is from RNAcentral.